Molecule: ribosomal RNA, 253 nt
Filed under: uncultured bacterium
Lineage: Bacteria
Description: partial 16S ribosomal RNA
Rfam family: Bacterial small subunit ribosomal RNA
Source: RNAcentral
GACAGAGGGUGCAAACGUUGUUCGGAAUUACUGGGCGUAAAGCGUGUGUAGGCGGUUCGCAAAGUCGGAUGUGAAAGCCCCGGGCUCAACCUGGGAAGUGCACUCGAUACUGGCGAACUUGAGUAUCGGAGAGGUUGGUGGAAUUCUCGGUGGAGAGGUGAAAUUCGUAGAUAUCGAGGGGAACACCAGUGGCGAAGGCGGCCAACUGGACGAAUACUGACGCUGAGACACGAAAGCGUGGGGAGCAAACAGG